GCGGGUGUAGUAUAACGGCUAUUACGCUACCUUGCCAAGGUAGAGAAGGGGGUUCGACUCCCCUCACCCGCU
Molecule: transfer RNA, 72 nt
Filed under: Candidatus Parcubacteria bacterium
Lineage: Bacteria; Candidatus Parcubacteria
Description: tRNA-Gly
Rfam family: tRNA
About the family: Transfer RNA (tRNA) molecules are approximately 80 nucleotides in length.
Source: RNAcentral